GACGAACGCUGGCGGCGUGCUUAACACAUGCAAGUCGAACGGAAAGGCCCUGCUUUUGUGGGGUGCUCGAGUGGCGAACGGGUGAGUAACACGUGAGUAACCUGCCCUUGACUUUGGGAUAACUUCAGGAAACUGGGGCUAAUACCGGAUAGGAGCUCCUGCUGCAUGGUGGGGGUUGGAAAGUUUCGGCGGUUGGGGAUGGACUCGCGGCUUAUCAGCUUGUUGGUGGGGUAGUGGCUUACCAAGGCUUUGACGGGUAGCCGGCCUGAGAGGGUGACCGGCGACAUGGGGACUGAGAGACGGCCCAGACUCCUACGGGAGGCAGCAGUGGGGAAUAUUGCACAAUGGGCGGAAGCCUGAUGCAGCAACGCAGCGUGCGGGAUGAAGGCCUUCGGGUUGUAAACAGAUUGCGCCUGUGACGAAGCGUGAGUGACGGUAAUGGGUAAAGAAGCACCGGCUAACUACGUG
RNAcentral lists this ribosomal RNA (468 nucleotides) under uncultured bacterium. RNAcentral's name for it is "partial 16S ribosomal RNA". It matches the Rfam family "Bacterial small subunit ribosomal RNA", at positions 28 to 507 of the family's 1533-position model. The record is from RNAcentral.